AACGAACGCUGGCGGCAUGCCUAACACAUGCAAGUCGAACGAUUGCCUUCGGGUGAUAGUGGCGCACGGGUGCGUAACGCGUGGGAAUCUGCCCUUAGGUUCGGAAUAACAGCUGGAAACGGCUGCUAAUACCGGAUGAUAUCGCGAGAUCAAAGAUUUAUCGCCUGAGGAUGCGCCCGCGUUGGAUUAGGUAGUUGGUGGGGUAAAGGCCUACCGAGCCGACGAUCCAUAGCUGGUCUGAGAGGAUGAUCAGCCACACUGGGACUGAGACACGGCCCAGACUCCUACGGGAGGCAGCAGUGGGGAAUAUUGGACAAUGGGCGCAAGCCUGAUCCAGCAAUGCCGCGUGAGUGAUGAAGGCCCUAGGGUUGUAAAGCUCUUUUACCCGGGAAGAUAAUGACUGUACCGGGAGAAUAAGCCCCGGCUAACUCCGUG
This 435-nucleotide ribosomal RNA is filed under the name uncultured bacterium. RNAcentral's name for it is "partial 16S ribosomal RNA". It matches the Rfam family "Bacterial small subunit ribosomal RNA", at positions 29 to 507 of the family's 1533-position model. The record is from RNAcentral.